RNAcentral lists this small RNA (755 nucleotides) under Pongo abelii (Sumatran orangutan). RNAcentral's name for it is "processed transcript". The record is from RNAcentral. Lineage: Eukaryota; Metazoa; Chordata; Mammalia; Primates; Hominidae.
AACGCUCCCGGUAAAGCGCUGGGGGAGGGAAGCGACGCCGGGGAGCUACGGUUUCCUCCGGAGGUCUCCGCCCCUCUGCCCCUAUAUUCCCAGAGCUCGAGUCUGAUCCGGGCCUUGCCGGGCACCCUGGAAAGGCGGGGGUGAUAGUACAGAUGGAGACGCAACUGCAGAGCAUUUUCGAAGAGGUGGUGAAAACGGAAGUUAUAGAAGAGGCUUUUCCUGGCAUGUUUAUGGAUACUCCUGAAGAUGAGAAAACAAAACUAAUUAGCUGUUUGGGGGCCUUCAGACAGUUUUGGGGUGGUCUUUCUCAGGUGAGCACUUCAUUUUUAAUACAUUCAGCUGAUGAUUUUUGGCCCCUUCUUUUUUUUUUUUUUUUUUUCUUUUAACAUUUACUUUGAUGUUGCUUAUAAGAUCUUCCUGAGAAUGGAGAAAUAAAAUUGUCAUCAUUUUUUAUUCUGGCUUCCAUUUGUUUUAAUUUGUAUAUUUCAGUGGAAAACCUAUGUAGAGAAGUCAAGUUGAUACUGCAGUGUGAGAUGUUAAAAAAAAAACCCAAAAAAAAAAACCUCCCCUAUGUUAGAUUAAUUAAGAUCAUUUUCAUCCUAUUCGGAUUUAUUUGGUACACUUGAAAACAGAUAUAUUAAGCUUUGCUUGUCAAGGAUACAAAUUCCAUUUUUUUGCUAAAUAAAGGAAUUGGCACAGCAUUGAUACAAAGAUGCUACAAUAGGAAUACCAAGAUUCUAUAAGGAUAAGAAAAU